This 598-nucleotide ribosomal RNA is filed under the name unidentified. Its description in RNAcentral is "Hannaella sp. AA-2022a partial large subunit ribosomal RNA". It matches the Rfam family "Eukaryotic large subunit ribosomal RNA", at positions 38 to 621 of the family's 3401-position model. The record is from RNAcentral.
GCAUAUCAAUAAGCGGAGGAAAAGAAACUAACAAGGAUUCCCCUAGUAGCGGCGAGCGAACCGGGAAGAGCUCAAAUUUGAAAUCUGGCGUCCUUCGGGCGUCCGAGUUGUAAUCUACAGAAGUGUUUUCCGUGCUGGACCGUGUCCAAGUCCCUUGGAAUAGGGUAUCAAAGAGGGUGAUAAUCCCGUACUUGACACGACGACCAGUGCUCUGUGAUACACUUUCUACGAGUCGAGUUGUUUGGGAAUGCAGCUCAAAAUGGGUGGUAAAUUCCAUCUAAAGCUAAAUAUAGGCGAGAGACCGAUAGCGAACAAGUACCGUGAGGGAAAGAUGAAAAGCACUUUGGAAAGAGAGUUAAACAGUACGUGAAAUUGUUGAAAGGGAAACGAUUGAAGUCAGUCAUGUCUAUUGGUUUCAGCUGGCUCUGCCAGUGUAUUACCUUUAGACGGGUCAACAUCAGUUUUGGACGGUGGAAAAAGGCAUGGGGAACGUAGCACCCUUCGGGGUGUGUUAUAGACCCGUGUUGCAUACACUGUCCGAGACUGAGGAAUGCAGCUCGCCUUUAUGGCCGGGAUUCGUCCCACGUACGAGCUUAGG